RNAcentral lists this unclassified non-coding RNA (3256 nucleotides) under Leishmania donovani. RNAcentral describes it as "gene:LdHU3.28.1710(CDS-product:p450_reductase_put ative)". Lineage: Eukaryota; Euglenozoa; Kinetoplastea; Trypanosomatida; Trypanosomatidae. The record is from RNAcentral.
UAGAGGUCGUUUCUCAGCCACUUCUCUCGGGUCUUAUGCGCAGCAGCACACACGUCCACACGCACACACCUCUCUCCUCCUCCCCCCUCCCCCUGCCUCUUUCUCUCUCCGCAAGCAAAAACAAAAGUAAGCGUAAAGGCAACAAAAGGAAGGACGGAAAGACGGAAGAGGUGCACCACCCCGUUCACAGCGCACUCAGCAACGAACGGAAGAACAAAACAGCCGAGCCGCUCGUGCACUGUGCGCUAACCGCUGUCGCCUCUCUGCGUCUUGUAGCCGGCAAGAGAGAGAGGCAGCGACGACACUCCCCACACGUUUAUAUCUGGCCUCGUCGGCUAGUCCCCAACCCCCUCCCUCGUUCGACUGUAGCCAUGUCUUUCCUCUACAUUGUCGCCACGGUGCUGUUCGCCCUGGCGGGCUAUUUCUACUUCCAGCUGAACCGGCAGGCUUCCGGACGCUAUGGCGCUGUGUCUGCCACCACCAAUUCCAAUGGCAAGAAGGUGCCUGGCGUGAGCGACGCCGCUGCCAGCGGCAGUAACGCAGUUGCGAAGGAUCAGCAGGAGGUCACUGUCCUGUUUGGAUCGCAGACGGGCACGGCCGAGAUGUUUGCCAAGACGCUGACCCGCGAGGGUACGAAGCUCGGCGUGCCUAUCAAGGUGUGCGACCUCGACUGCUACGAGGCGUACAACAUGGAGUGCGAGCGCCUGGUCAUUCUAAUCUGCGCCACCUACGGCGAGGGUGAGCCGACCGACACAAUGAAGAACUUCCACGACUGGAUGAUGGACGAGUGCCGCUCGCCAGGGGAGGAGCUGGCGAAUGUCAAGUACGCGGUGUUCGGCCUGGGUGAUCGUCAGUACAAGUACUUCUGCGAGGAGGGUAUCGUCAUGGAUCGCCGCUUCGAGGAGCUCGGGGCGCAGCGCAUCUUUGGCCUUGGCUGCGGCGACUCGGGCAACGGACAGCUGGAGGAGCAGUUCGAUGAGUGGUGCAAGGACCUCUGGCCCGCUGUCGGGCGUGCGCUGAACAUCACUAUCAAGGAGAACUCGGAAGAACCCGUGGAGCCACAGUGCCGAGUCAAGUACUGGGAGGAGGCCGAGGAACCGCUCGCGUUCCCCAAAACGGCUUCCGUGCUGGAGCCGACGCAACGCCUGCCGGUGUGGGUGCCCAUCAUCCGCAACGAAGAGCUGCUGCGCAAUGCCGAGGGGCACAGCACCCGCGCCAUCGAUUUCAGCAUCAGCGACACCAUCAUCUCCUACCAAGCCGGCGAUCACCUCGGCAUCCUGCCGUGCAACCCGGACGAGCUUGUCUCGCAGUACCUGCAGUCCCUCGGCAUCUCAGACGAGGAGGCCGGCCGCGUCUUUUCCCUGCAGGACAAAAAGACCCUCAAGAACGUCCUCCCAGCUCGUGUGUCGAUGCGCACGGCGCUCAAGUGGUACAUCGACCUCACCGGGCCCCCGAAGAAAUCGACGUUGCGUGCCUUUGCUCAUUGCUGCACCGACCCCGUCCAGAAAGAGGAGCUGCUGCGCAUUCUACGCGUGAACCAGGACGCACAGAAGGAGUUCGCGAAACUAUGCGGUAAGCUGCGCACCAUGCUAGGCUUCCUGCGCAAGUUCAACUCUGCCAAGGUGCCGCUGUCCUUUUUCCUCGAGCUCAUGCCGCGCAUCGCGCCCCGCUACUACUCUAUCUCCUCCGACCUCCUUGCCACGCCGACCUUGGUGGGGACGACGGUCGGCAUUGUCGAUGGUGGACUGUGCACGAACAUGCUUGCCAGGAUGCAGGUGGGCGACAAGGUGCCCGUGUUUGUGCGUAAGUCCAACUUCCACCUCCCGAUGCGGCACAAGGAGCGGCCGGUGGUAAUGAUUGGCGCCGGCACCGGUGUGGCGCCAUUCAUUGGUUUCAUUGCACGCCGUGGGGUCUGGAAGCAGAAAGGUACUGAACUCGGCAAGUCUAUCCUCUUCUUUGGCUGCCGCCGGCAUGACGAGGAUCACAUCUUCGAGGACUACUGCACGGAGGCACUCCACGAAGGGGUCCUGUCGGCGCUGGUGACCGCGUACAGUCGCGACCAAGCCCACAAGGUGUAUGUCCAGCACCGGCUGAGGGAGCGGGGGGCGGAGAUAUGGGAAAUGUUGGUAUCUGGCGCGAACGUCUACAUCUGCGGUGACGCGAGGCGCAUGGCCAAGGACGUGGAGGCGGAGCUCAAGCGCAUUGUGGAGGUGGAGGGCAAGAUGCCGCGCGAGGCUGCUACCGAGUACAUGAACGUGAUGGAAAAGGAGGGGCGGUACCUAAAGGAUGUGUGGUCAUCGACCUUGUAGGAAACCGCGGUGGAGCGGGAAAGAGAGAAGUACAGAAAGGCGAGAACAUCAUGAAGCAACACAGUUUUUCUUGAGAGAGCAAUCGUGUGUACAGGCGCACCCGGAGGGAGCGACCGUCUCCGUAUGAGGAGGCCUAGCGAGGCGGAUACGCGGAGGGACGGGGGGGGCGAAGAAGGGCAAGGGCAAGCAAAGAGGCGAUUGACGGAUAGCGGUGUUCACGAGUGCAACUACCGGAGGCGAGAGGAUGGUGCACGCUUUCGUUUCUGCGUCGAUGACUUUUGCAGCGUCCUUGUCACAGAUACUUCCGCCUCCCAGGCGGAAGUAUCUGUGUCUGAAGAUCGUGUGUGUGUGUGUGUGUUCUAACUUUUCUUUCUGUUCUUGUUCGAGAUGUGGGGCCUCACUACCUUCCGUUUGACCGUAUUCUUCCAAGUGCACGGUCCUGCCCCCUUCCCCUUUUCUUUCCGCGCACCCUCCGUUGAACUUCUCUCUCGUUCACCCCGUACGUCGUGCAUGGCGUGUGUCGCGGCUGGUGGGCAAAGCAAACAAUUUUUUUUUCCCGCCUCCCUCGUGCAUCUCCGCCUUGCGUCUCUCGGUGAUUUUCGGUGAACUUGUAAAGGUCACACGCACACUCAUACACAUAAACAUACACAUACGCAUGCAAAGGAAAUAAAGAUGAUACGAAGUCAUCUAUGUGCAGCAGGUGGGUCGUAACAGCCCCUGACAUAUCCAGUACAGUGCAGGAAUGCCGCAUGCACAGCGACUCAGACACACGCAUCUCUGGUGUGGUGUGUGCAGGGGGCCUAUGUUUGAUAGGCCCCCUGCUCAUGUCUGCCUACCCUCCCUCUCUCUCUUCCAUUCCUCGCCGGCUACGAUGCUUCAGUGACCCCAGGGACGUGAAAAGAGAGGAGGAGGGCGCGCGGGCGUGCACGCGGUCCACUAUGAAGUUU